CAGUCGCCGCGGUAAUACGAAGGGUGCAAGCGUUAAUCGGAAUUACUGGGCGUAAAGCGUGCGUAGGCGGUUUGUUAAGUCUGUUGUGAAAUCCCCGGGCCCAACCUGGGAAUGGCAAUGGAUACUGGCAAGCUAGAGUGUGUCAGAGGAUGGUGGAAUUCCCGGUGUAGCGGUGAAAUGCGUAGAGAUCGGGAGGAACAUCAGUGGCGAAGGCGGCCAUCUGGGACAACACUGACGCUGAGGCACGAAAGCGUGGGGAGCAAACAGGAUUAGAUACCCCGGUAGUCCCUGUCUCUUAUAA
RNAcentral lists this ribosomal RNA (301 nucleotides) under uncultured bacterium. RNAcentral describes it as "partial 16S ribosomal RNA". It matches the Rfam family "Bacterial small subunit ribosomal RNA", at positions 509 to 809 of the family's 1533-position model. The record is from RNAcentral.